Molecule: ribosomal RNA, 490 nt
Filed under: uncultured bacterium
Lineage: Bacteria
Description: partial 16S ribosomal RNA
Rfam family: Bacterial small subunit ribosomal RNA
Source: RNAcentral
ACUCAAAGGAAUAGACGGGGGCCCGCACAAGCAGCGGAGCGUGUGGUUUAAUUCGACGCGACGCGUAGAACCUUACCCGGGUUAGACAUGCCGGUGUCAAGGGGGUUAUGCCCCGGCCCCGCAAGGGGCGCCGGCACAGGUGCUGCAUGGCUGUCGUCAGCUCGUGCCGUGAGGUGUUGGGUUAAGUCCCCUAACGAGCGCAACCCCCGGUGCCGGUUGCCCGCGAGGGCGCUCCGGCGCGACUGCCGCGCGCAACGCGGAGGAAGGCGGGGAUGAUGUCAAGUCAGCACGGCCCUUACGUCCGGGGCUACACACACGCUACAAUGGCCGGCACAAUCGGUUGCGACCCGGCGACGGGAAGCCAAUCCGCAAAGCCGGUCUCAGUUCGGAUCGCAGGCUGCAACCCGCCUGCGUGAAGCCGGAGUUGCUAGUAACCGCGGGUCAGCACACCGCGGUGAAUACGUUCCCGGGCCUUGUACACACCGCCCGU